GUUAACUUGCUCACUGCUUGGGCUGGAUACGAGGUUUCCCUCCUGCUCAGGACAUGCAAAACCCUGUGGUGGCCAAAAGCCAGCACCGUUGCCAUGAAAUGUGCAAUAUCCAGCUCUCUUUACAAGCUCCCUCUAUGUACUGGAAGGCUGCGGUGAGGUUUCUUCAGAGCCUCCUCCUCUCCAGUUUGAACAACUCCAGGUACCUGGACGCCAGAAGAGAAGCAAAACCCCAGUCGUGCUCCUGUGCUGUACUGAUUUCCAGCGGUGCGCUGGCUGCAGUUCCAGGUCCAGGAGCAGCCCUGCGGUGGCUUCAGCAGCACCCUCGCUCACGGGGCUGCAGGUGGGACCACGUCUGGCUGGAGAAAGCUGGGCACGAGGGUGGGGUGGUCCUGUGGGUGUGGGGCGACCCCGCACUGCUGCCCACCGACAUGCUCCUCUCACCUGGCAGGGGGUGCAGGGCACGCAGGACUGACCGCGUCGCCCUAUUUUCUCACCCCAAAGUGAAACAGGGUAAAAAGUAAAAAAAUGAAGCAGGAAUUUCAGAGUGUACCCAGCUCUUUGCUGCUGAGUGAUGAUGUGUGCAUAUAUGUGUUUUGUCGUUGUUACUGUUGUUUUUGAAGGAGAAUAGAGGGGAAUUUGGAAUUUACUCUGUGAAUUGCCAGCCCCAGAUUAGCCAUUUCAAUUCCUGAUUGUAAUCUUGUGUAUAAACGGAUUUUGUUCAGGGUAAUUGGGACUUAACCAUAAAUUUAGCCUUUUGAUGUACCAUUUAAAAAAUUAAAAAAAAUAGUCUGUAUGAUCGGUCUGAAAUUAUUUUUGACAUGCUCUUGGAGUAGUGCUGAAGAAAAAAACAUCCAAAGAGUUGAGAAAAAUGUUGCAGUGAAGUUCAGCUUACACGUGAGAGUACUGGUGGGAACUCUCGUUGUGUUCACCUCGCUGGUCCUUCACUGUGGUAUUGGUGUAUGAUCGUAAUGGGUACCUCCGUAGACAUUGUAGUCAGGAAAAAAAAGGUGAGAACCUAUCGGAUGUGUUACACUGACCACUGCAACUGUCUCACAGCACUCAGCAUUUCUUGGUCAAGGCUGUGAAGGAUUUCAGAUAUUUUCCACCUUUAGCACACUUUAAAUGUACGCUUCAUGACUCUGAUGACAGUCUCCUUGUUAAUGUUUCAUUGCAAUCAAAAAGCCAUUGUUAGAAAAACGACUAUUUCAGUGCCUAUUUUGUUCCCUUGCAGAGCAGAGCUGGUCUCGGUGAUUUGGCUCUCCUGGAAAGUAAUUCAUUCAAAUAAAUGUAAAUCACCUUUUUGCGUUGUUGGGCCG
This 1316-nucleotide long non-coding RNA is filed under the name Anser brachyrhynchus (Pink-footed goose). RNAcentral describes it as "lncRNA (ENSABRG00000007509.1)". The record is from RNAcentral. Lineage: Eukaryota; Metazoa; Chordata; Aves; Anseriformes; Anatidae.